Molecule: ribosomal RNA, 1540 nt
Filed under: Staphylococcus aureus M0570
Lineage: Bacteria; Bacillati; Bacillota; Bacilli; Caryophanales; Staphylococcaceae
Description: 16S ribosomal RNA
Rfam family: Bacterial small subunit ribosomal RNA
Source: RNAcentral
AGAGUUUGAUCCUGGCUCAGGAUGAACGCUGGCGGCGUACCUAAUACAUGCAAGUCGAGCGAACGGACGAGAAGCUUGCUUCUCUGAUGUUAGCGGCGGACGGGUGAGUAACACGUGGAUAACCUACCUAUAAGACUGGGAUAACUUCGGGAAACCGGAGCUAAUACCGGAUAAUAUUUUGAACCGCAUGGUUCAAAAGUAAAAGACGGUCUUGCUGUCACUUAUAGAUGGAUCCGCGCUGCAUUAGCUAGUUGGUAAGGUAACGGCUUACCAAGGCAACGAUGCAUAGCCGACCUGAGAGGGUGAUCGGCCACACUGGAACUGAGACACGGUUCAGACUCCUACGGGAGGCAGCAGUAGGGAAUCUUCCGCAAUGGGCGAAAGCCUGACGGAGCAACGCCGCGUGAGUGAUGAAGGUCUUCGGAUCGUAAAACUCUGUUAUUAGGGAAGAACAUAUGUGUAAGUAACUGUGCACAUCUUGACGGUACCUAAUCAGAAAGCCACGGCUAACUACGUGCCAGCAGCCGCGGUAAUACGUAGGUGGCAAGCGUUAUCCGGAAUUAUUGGGCGUAAAGCGCGCGUAGGCGGUUUUUUAAGUCUGAUGUGAAAGCCCACGGCUCAACCGUGGAGGGUCAUUGGAAACUGGAAAACUUGAGUGCAGAAGAGGAAAGUGGAAUUCCAUGUGUAGCGGUGAAAUGCGCAGAGAUAUGGAGGAACACCAGUGGCGAAGGCGACUUUCUGGUCUGUAACUGACGCUGAUGUGCGAAAGCGUGGGGAUCAAACAGGAUUAGAUACCCUGGUAGUCCACGCCGUAAACGAUGAGUGCUAAGUGUUAGGGGGUUUCCGCCCCUUAGUGCUGCAGCUAACGCAUUAAGCACUCCGCCUGGGGAGUACGACCGCAAGGUUGAAACUCAAAGGAAUUGACGGGGACCCGCACAAGCGGUGGAGCAUGUGGUUUAAUUCGAAGCAACGCGAAGAACCUUACCAAAUCUUGACAUCCUUUGACAACUCUAGAGAUAGAGCCUUCCCCUUCGGGGGACAAAGUGACAGGUGGUGCAUGGUUGUCGUCAGCUCGUGUCGUGAGAUGUUGGGUUAAGUCCCGCAACGAGCGCAACCCUUAAGCUUAGUUGCCAUCAUUAAGUUGGGCACUCUAAGUUGACUGCCGGUGACAAACCGGAGGAAGGUGGGGAUGACGUCAAAUCAUCAUGCCCCUUAUGAUUUGGGCUACACACGUGCUACAAUGGACAAUACAAAGGGCAGCGAAACCGCGAGGUCAAGCAAAUCCCAUAAAGUUGUUCUCAGUUCGGAUUGUAGUCUGCAACUCGACUACAUGAAGCUGGAAUCGCUAGUAAUCGUAGAUCAGCAUGCUACGGUGAAUACGUUCCCGGGUCUUGUACACACCGCCCGUCACACCACGAGAGUUUGUAACACCCGAAGCCGGUGGAGUAACCUUUUAGGAGCUAGCCGUCGAAGGUGGGACAAAUGAUUGGGGUGAAGUCGUAACAAGGUAGCCGUAUCGGAAGGUGCGGCUGGAUCACCU